Small nucleolar RNA from Fusarium langsethiae, 106 nucleotides. It matches the Rfam family "A. fumigatus snoRNA Afu_304". The record is from Rfam. NCBI's taxonomy places the organism in Eukaryota, Fungi, Ascomycota, Sordariomycetes, Hypocreales, Nectriaceae.
UUUCCUGAUGACAAAAGGCCAUAAGGCCUGAUCUAAUCCCAGCUCGUCGAAUGCCUCACCUAAUUAACGCUUAGAGGCAUUGUGAGAUAAACUCUACUCUGAUUGC